RNAcentral lists this long non-coding RNA (506 nucleotides) under Cicer arietinum (chickpea). Its description in RNAcentral is "long non-coding RNA (CARI_LNC001102)". Lineage: Eukaryota; Viridiplantae; Streptophyta; Magnoliopsida; Fabales; Fabaceae. The record is from RNAcentral.
AGGAGGAGGAGAUUUGUAAUAAUAAGGUGGUGGAGGAGAUGGUGAAGGUGGUGGAGGAGAUUUGUAAUAAUAUGGUGGCGGAGGAGACGGUGAAGGAGGUGGUGGGGAUUUAUAAUAAUAUGGUGGUGGAGGAGACGGUGAAGGAGGUGGUGGGGAUUUGUAAUAGUAUGGUGGGGCCUUGUGUUCAUAUGGUGGUGGAGGAGAUUUAUAGUAGUAAGGAGGUGGAGGUGAGGGAGAAGGUGGAGGAGGAGACUUGUAGUAGUAAGGUGGAGGAGGGGAGGGAGAGGGUGGUGGGGGAGAUUUGUAAUAGUAAGGAGGUGGAAGUGAUGGAGAGGGUGGUGGAGGAGACUUAUAGUAGUAUGGUGGAGGAGGGGAGGGUGAGGGUGGUGGGGGAGAUUUGUAGUAGUAAGGAGGUGGAGGUGAUGGAGAGGGCGGAGGCGGAGACUUGUAGUAGUAUGGUGGAGCCUUGUGCUCAUAUGGCGGGGGAGGAGACUUGUAAUAGUAAG